GCCAUAUUCACAACAUCGAUCGGUUUUCAUCGUCAACUUAGAACUCUCUACCUCUUUGGUGAUUUUUUUGGCCAUAAAACUAGAAAGAAAAUCGCACCUCAAGCGGCUAAACUCCAAACAAAACCCAAAAAUCAGUGAGUUAGAAGAGAUUCGAGAGAGAAUCAUCAUAUUUGGAGGAGUGAUUAUGUUAAUUAUUUAUAAGGGAUUUGCUCUUAUGUUUGCAACCAAGAAUCUCCAACUUCCGUUCAUACAAGUACUGUUACUUAUGGCUAUGGAGUCACAAGCAUUUUGGAAUGGGCGGUUUCAGAAAAGAGGUUAAGUGGCUAGAAUACAUCAGACCUCAAGCACAAGCUUUCUUAGAAACUAGAAAAAUACCAAAACUUGUGAAGCAAAGGCAAGAGCCCCUGCACCUGUACCAGAAGAGAUGUCCCCUAAUGAAGAACUCACUCUCAAUUAGAUUAUGUAGAAUCCAUCUUAGUUUCCAUUUGAGGUAUCAGUUUCCAUUUGAGGAUGACACAAAAUGUGCUCAACAAAGUUCAUCUUCGUUGGAUUGUGGCAUCUUCAUCAUGUUCAAUAUGGAUAAAAUAGCACAAGGACAGCCCAUUCCAAAAAGUGUAGACAAGAAUUUCAUGAAUGAAUAUCGAGCACAAUACAUCACAAAAGUGCUACACCACAGACACUGUCUCAUUAAUCGUCUCUAGUGAUUUGUCUUUUGUUAACUCAAGACAAUAUGUAUCUUAAUUCUUGUGGAUGUUUGUAAAUAUUUCUAG
Molecule: long non-coding RNA, 770 nt
Organism: Prunus avium (sweet cherry)
Lineage: Eukaryota; Viridiplantae; Streptophyta; Magnoliopsida; Rosales; Rosaceae
Source: RefSeq, a predicted model, not a curated record